CCAAUAGCGUAUAUUAAAGUUGCUGCAGUUAAAAAGCUCGUAGUUGAAUUUCGGGAUCAAUUUACUGGUCGUGCCUACGGUACGUACUGGUUUUGUUGGUUCCUCCUUUCUGAGGAGCCGCGAUGUCAUUAACUUGGUGUCGCGGGGAAUCAGGACUGUUACUUUGAAAAAAUUAGAGUGUUUAAAGCAGGCUAACGCUUGAAUACAUUAGCAUGGAAUAAUGAAAUAGGACGUUUGAUCCUAUUUUGUUGGUUUCUAGGGUCGACGUAAUGAUUAAUAGGGAUAGUUGGGGGCAUUAGUAUUCAAUUGUCAGAGGUGAAAUUCUUGGAUUUAUUGAAGACUAACUACUGCGAAAGCAUUUGCCAAGGAUGUUUUCAUUAAUCAAGAACGAAAGUUAGGGGAUCGAAGACGAUCAGAUACCGUCGUAGUCUUAACCAUAAACUAUGCCGACUAGGGAUCGGAUGAUAAUUUUUUAAUAACUCAUUCGGCGCCUUACG
RNAcentral lists this ribosomal RNA (497 nucleotides) under uncultured Glomeromycotina. RNAcentral's name for it is "partial small subunit ribosomal RNA". It matches the Rfam family "Eukaryotic small subunit ribosomal RNA", at positions 591 to 1092 of the family's 1831-position model. Lineage: Eukaryota; Fungi; Glomeromycota. The record is from RNAcentral.